UACGUAGGGGGCUAGCGUUGUCCGGAAUCAUUGGGCGUAAAGCGCGUGUAGGCGGUUCGGUAAGUCCGCUGUGAAAGUCGGGGGCUCAACCCUCGAAUGCCGGUGGAUACUGUCAGACUAGAGUACGGAAGAGGCGAGUGGAAUUCCUGGUGUAGCGGUGAAAUGCGCAGAUAUCAGGAGGAACACCAAUUGCGAAGGCAGCUCGCUGGGACGUUACUGACACUGAGACACGAAAUCUUGGGGAGCAAACAGG
This 253-nucleotide ribosomal RNA is filed under the name uncultured bacterium. RNAcentral describes it as "partial 16S ribosomal RNA". It matches the Rfam family "Bacterial small subunit ribosomal RNA", at positions 524 to 776 of the family's 1533-position model. The record is from RNAcentral.